UGCCACAGAAUUUGUUUGUGGCUGCCAUUUGGGUCUAUUUGUGAAGAUUAAUAUACUGAUGAUUGCUGAGUAGCUUCAGGGUUACAGGAGGAAGGCAGGAAUAUCGUGUUGGAAUAAAAAUCAGUCGUGGUUGAGUGGUGGAGCAGACCAGAUGGAUUGAAUCACCUAAUUCUGUUCCUGUGUCUUAUGUCUUACCGUGAGUGAAUGAUGGAUCCUUCUAAUCCCGUAUCGUCUGUGACACGUGAGGGACAAUAAAAGAUUGUUCACUGAGAUCAUUAUAUUUGCCUUCAAUGUUUAAAUUUCAGUGAGUUUUGUUCCUAGUAACAUUAAGCUGAUAUGUUUGGUCCUCCUUUUCAUUGUUAACGUGCUUCAUUAUCUUUUAUGUUAAAGUUAGACCUGCAGUGAGAGAUUUAUUGGAAACAAACCACAACUGAAGACGUGGGAACAGCAACAAGUGAACCAGCCCGAGGACUGAGAGCACCGACUGGAGAGAACCCAUCUGACUCGGAGAUUCCAGUGAUUCAAUCAGGAGAAAGUUGGCACCCCAUAUGGGACCACAGUUUUCACUCCUCCUCAGAGGCAUCCCCCUGAGAAGAACAAAACUCGAGGUAGCUGUAGAGCGGUUAAAAAAUGACAAGGAAUUUGUCUACAGGAAUCUCAAACAGAACAUACCAGUUUUGCUGUCUCUAUCCAGAUAUUUAAGAAGUGGAGCAAGGGAUUCACUCGAUCAUCCUUCCCGCUCAGACUGUGGGGAGGGAUUCACUCGAUUAUCAUUCCCGCUCAGACUGUGGGGAGGGAUUCACUCGGUCAUCCUUCCCACUCAGACUGUGGGGAGGGAUUCACUCGAUCAUCUGACCAACUGGCAUGCCCGUUAUUUUGCAGAGGGUAGAUGCCAUUCAUCUGCUCAGACAGUGGCAAUGGAUUCACGCGGACAUUUUAACU
This is a long non-coding RNA of Hypanus sabinus (Atlantic stingray), 942 nucleotides long. RefSeq lists it as uncharacterized. The transcript has 3 exons. NCBI's taxonomy places the organism in Eukaryota, Metazoa, Chordata, Chondrichthyes, Myliobatiformes, Dasyatidae. The record is from RefSeq and is a predicted model, not a curated record.